ACGGAAGGCAGCAGUGAGGAAUAUUCCGCAAUGGACGAAAGUCUGACGGAGCGACGCCGCGUGGAUGAUGAAGGUCGGAAGAUUGUAAAAUCCUUUUAUAACUGAGGAAUAAGCAGUGUGAGAGAAACGCAUUGCGGUGACUGUAGGUUAUGAAUAAGCAACGGCUAAUUACGUGCCAGCAGCCGCGGUAAUACGUAAGUUGCGAGCGUUGUUCGGAAUUAUUGGGCGUAAAGGGCAUGUAGGCGGAUAUGCAAGCUUGGUGUGAAAGGCGGGAGCUCAACUCCCGAACUGCGUUGAGAACUGCAUAACUAGAGUGACUGAGGGGCAGGCAGAAUUCCAGGUGUAGGGGUGAAAUCUGCAGAUAUCUGGAAGAAUACCAAUGGCGAAGGCAGCCUGCCAGCAGAUGACUGACGCUGAGGUGCGAAGGUGCGGGGAGCAAACAGGAUUAGAUACCCUGGUA
RNAcentral lists this ribosomal RNA (460 nucleotides) under uncultured Treponema sp. RNAcentral describes it as "partial 16S ribosomal RNA". It matches the Rfam family "Bacterial small subunit ribosomal RNA", at positions 341 to 792 of the family's 1533-position model. Lineage: Bacteria; Pseudomonadati; Spirochaetota; Spirochaetia; Treponematales; Treponemataceae. The record is from RNAcentral.